RNAcentral lists this unclassified non-coding RNA (1372 nucleotides) under Hevea brasiliensis (rubber tree). Lineage: Eukaryota; Viridiplantae; Streptophyta; Magnoliopsida; Malpighiales; Euphorbiaceae. The record is from RNAcentral.
GUGAUCAACAGGUUUCCUCCCAGUUAAAAGUUCCAGAAGAACCACCCCAAAACUAUAAACAUCACUCUUCUGUGUCAAUUGUCCAGUCAUUGCGUACUCUGGAGCAUGAUAACCAAAGGUUCCCAAAACACGAGUAGAAUGAAGGCGAGCAGCCAUGUCAGGAGCCUGAUUUGAAAGAUUAAAAUCUGCAAUCUUGGCUUUGAAGUCCUCAAAUAGAAGCACAUUGCUUGAUCUGAUAUCUCUGUGUAUUAUAGGUGGUUGUACCUUCUCAUGCAAGUAUUCCAAACCCCUUGCUGCAUCAACUGCAAUUCUCACACGCUGCAUCCAGUCAAGAGUAGGACCUGGUUGUGCCCCUUGAACUCCUUUUCUACCAUGCAAUAUGUCAUGGAGAGAACCCAUUGUUGCAAAUUCAUAAGCAAGCACUCGAAGAUUUCCUUCCACACAGUAACCAAGCAACUCAACAACAUUUUCAUGCUUCAAUUUUGAAACCAUGGAAACCUGAGUCAAAAAUUCAACAUUUGAUUCUUGCUCAGAUGCUGUAUCAAGUUUUUUUACGGCAACAGCUUUCCCAUUAUCUAAGUUAGCAUAAUAUACUCUUCCAUACGAUCCUUCACCAAUCAAUGCCUUUGAACCGAAAUUGUCAGUCUUCUCUUUCAGUUCAUCUAAAGACAACGCAGGCACUUCAAUUGGAGGUGCUUCCUUCUGAACUUCAGCUUUGACAGGAGCUGAUACCUUCGAGCCUUUCACAGGGUUCCCAUCUGUGUAGCUUUUUGGGCUUCUUAGUUGCUCAUUUUCGUGUGAUGGAUAUGAUUCUUCUACCUGACAUGUACAACAGAGCCACCUGCGCAUCUUAUCUCUCUUCCUCAAAGCUGAAUCGUCUACAGCACCUGUUUUAUCCAAUAGAUAGUAUCCAGGGGAAGGUGCAUGUGCCCCCAAAUUGCGCUGAUGAUAAUCGUCCUCCAUUAAACAAAUUCAAGAUCACAAACAAAUCAAGAAAAAGAACCCAAAAGUACAGCCAAAAACUGGAGAAAGAAAAGACUGAAAGAAUAAAGAAAAAGAAUGAAGAAUCGAAAGAGAAACAAUGAAAAUGAAAGAAUAGAAAUGAAACGAAAGGUAAAGGGCGAAAGAGACCCAAAUAUUAAAACAAAACAAGAAAUGGAAAAAUGAAAUCAAAACCGAAAUUACAGGAAUAGACAAGAUACCUGAGCUUUCUCUCUCUAACUCUCUGGCAUGAAGCCUCAAAAAUUGAUGGUUUUGAUGGGAAAUUAGGUUAGAGAGAGAGAGAGAGGAAGGAAAAAUACCUGGUCUGGUGGCGUUCUCCAAGUCUACUGGUGGGGGGAGUCUAAGGUUUUUUCAAUAAUUUUUAUGUUGU